UCAGGAUGAACGCUAGCUACAGGCUUAACACAUGCAAGUCGAGGGCAUCAGGUAUCUAGCUUGCUAGAUAUGCUGGCGACCGGCGCACGGGUGCGUAACACGUAUCGAACCUUCCCAUGGCUCCGGGAUAGCCCUCUGAAAGGAGGAUUAAUACCGGAUGGUCUCAUGUGGGGACAUCCCCAUGUGAGUAAAGAUUCAGUCGGCGAUGGAUGGCGAUGCGUCCGAUUAGCUUGACGGCGGGGUAACGGCCCACCGUGGCUACGAUCGGUAGGAGUUCUGAGAGGAAGGUCCCCCACACUGGAACUGAGACACGGUCCAGACUCCUACGGGAGGCAGCAGUGAGGAAUAUUGGUCAAUGGGCGUAGGCCUGAACCAAGCCAGGUAGCGUGAGGGAUGACGGCCCUACGGGUUGUAAACCUCUUUUGUUCGGGAAUAAAGUGAGGGACGUGUCCCUUUUUGUAUGUACCGUACGAAUAAGCAUCGGCUAAUUCCGUGCCAGCCGCCGC
This 506-nucleotide ribosomal RNA is filed under the name uncultured bacterium. RNAcentral describes it as "bacterial SSU rRNA". It matches the Rfam family "Bacterial small subunit ribosomal RNA", at positions 24 to 518 of the family's 1533-position model. The record is from RNAcentral.